Molecule: long non-coding RNA, 2633 nt
Organism: Cryptomeria japonica (Japanese cedar)
Lineage: Eukaryota; Viridiplantae; Streptophyta; Pinopsida; Cupressales; Cupressaceae
Exons: 8
Source: RefSeq, a predicted model, not a curated record
GAGUAAAUUUUUGAAAGGAAAUGUAUUUUUUGUUUUUCAAGUCUGGAAUGGAGCGUAGACUGCAACGGCUCUGAAUAAAUGGCUUUCUGUUAGAUUCAUCCAUGGCUGUUGCUCUUACAGUUGAAAAUCUGAAAAAAAAACAUUAUUGCCGUUGAAGAGCUAAAAUAAAUUUAUUAUUAUGAGAAAAAAAAAAAAAAUUGUUACCGUUUGAAGACAGUUUGAUCUCUUAUAUAAUAGGGUAAGCUGUUUGUUUCAUUUAUCUGUGGUUCUGCUUCCUGUGGACUGUAGUCAGAUAGAGUAAAGUACCUCUUUUAGGUUGUUUCUUAGUCUUACAUAGGAGAAGAUCAGGAACGUUUCGUUGUUCCUAUAAAUUGUUUGCAGAGUGCUUGCUUCCUUGAAUUGCUCAAGGAGGCAGGGGAGGUUUAUGGGUUUGAUAAAGAAGGGCCUCUCAAGCUCCCCUGUAGUGUGGAUCGUUUUCAUAAGGUUUUGCAGUAAAUCUAGAAAGAGAGAAAAUUUACAGAAAACCCGGCAAUUUACAGAGUAUAUCAGCUGUCAAAUUUGGCCAUUUCUGAAUUGUGUAUAGCCAGUUACAAGAAACUGCAAAUGGCAUUGCAAGCAUGACUGAGAUUGUGCAUGAGAGAUUUCGAUUGAGUAUAUGGUUCUGCAGUUGCACUUGGGCUUUGGCAAUGGACAGAGGCGUAAAUAUGGUGACAAUUAAUGUAGGUCUGGUUGAAGGGCCUGGCUUUGCAUACAAAACCUCAGGACCCAUCAUAACACAUCUCAUAGAUUGAUGCAUCAGUGGCACUGUGGCAUUUUCGGACUGUAGUGCGAGAGAGUGUGAUGGCUUCAACCCGCCGAGGGUUUGUCCACAAGAAGUCCUAUAUUUCCUCAUCAGAAUGUGCAAUGUUCAGCUCAUCAGACGCCCUCACAGAGGAUUUCCUGGUGAUCUUGAUGUGAUUGCAUUCUACACUCUGAUAUAGCUCAGCACACUUACUGGAAUUUGGCACGUCAUAACAGUGGAAAUAUACUUGGGGAAGUAACUAAAGAAAUCGAGUCUAACAAUCCAUUUGUCCAAAUAUGACUGAAAUAGAAUCUAUACAUGCAGUUGCAAGUACUCAAGGCUUUUCCAAAGGCAUGAUAAUUGGAGAAGGUGAAAGUCACAAAAUGGAAAAGGAAACAUUUCUGCAUGGUACAUCUUCUGAUGAUCGAGUCACUCAGCAGUCCUCUAACGUAGGCAAUCUUGGGAAGGAGAACUUGGUUUUUGAUGCAAAUAAAGAAGAAAUUACAAAAGGAGAAAUGUUGGUAGAGUGUGUUCAAUCUGAAGAGACAUCAAAGAAAAAAGAAGCUAAAAUCCAGUGGCCAUACAAAUGGAGAGUUGCAGGAUGAACAGCAGGAGAACUCUAAAGUAAUUGCUGACAAGUUGUAUGAAUCCAAACUGAAAAGGGAGAAUAAUUUAAUUGAUGACAAGCAAAAGAGGAUGCCAUCCUACCAACGUCUGACACAUUCCGGAUCUCUGAAAACUGGCAAUAGUUUACUUGCAAAGAGUGGCAAUAUGUCUUGUCAGAGCCAAAAUUCAAGGCUUCCAAAGAGUGUAGUCAUAACAACAAAGAGUUCAAUACAAAGUGGCAAGGACGGAGUUUUAGCAUUUACAAAUAAAGGAAGCAGAGCUGAGGUUGAGAAUGUUGAAGUAACAUCAGCUACAUCAAAGAGUGUCCACUUCAUAAGAAAAUAGAUCCUAAGGCAAAAUCACACUGUUCCACAACCUUUUACACUGGCUACUGAUAAAAGGGCUUCAUUUGGAUGGCAACAAACUGGCAGUGAAGCAGCUCAGAAGCAUUAUAGGCGUGCUACUACAAGUAAUGUGACAUCCCCUGUCGCUGGAAAAAAGUAGUUAACUGCAAAAUCUGCUUCAGGAGUUUCAGAAACCAAAGUAUCCCAUUCCUUUGUACACAAGCAUUCAAGAUCAACUGAAGCCUCCAAAAGCAAAACAAACAUUGUUGCUGCUUCCACUGUUACCAUAUCUAGAUGUAAUGAACGAGCUCAGAAGCGAAAAUAGGUCAUUCAAUACAACUUUGGGGUUCACAUAUAAUUCCACUUUUGAUUUUAGAAAUGAGAGGAUUAUUGGAAACACAAUUAAUAAAUUUCCCAGAGGAUAUGAUCAUAAUUAUGUCCUCAAUUGUGGUGAAACAAAGAUGGUCUGAAGCAUGCUGUCAAAAUUAAGGAUUAUCCUUGCAGUUCUCAGUUUCUUAAUAAACCAUGACUCAAUAAUUAUUAUGUGAUUUAAGUUUCACUUGAUUUUUUAUUUUUUUUAAUAAUUCAUGACUAAUUAUUCUUGUGAUUUUAGGAGAGGAGACACAUACUGAUCAAGUAUGCAGAUCUACUUCGACAACAUUUCGAUCAGCUUGCAAUAUUGAAAACAUGGGAUGCUGAUAAUGUCUGGAUCUAUUUCAAACAUUUGAUGUACCAGAGACAGUAUAGUCAUAAAUAUAUUUGCCAUGUAUGUAGAGUGAUGCUGGAGUAUCUCAAUAGUUAUGGCAGUCAAUGCAAAAUCAAUUUUUUUUUUGGUUGGUAAAGGCAAAGCCAAAUUUUGUAUUGGUUGACUUAUGAAACUAAUUUGUAAAUUGAUAUGUUAA